Capsicum annuum is the source of this 470-nucleotide long non-coding RNA. RefSeq lists it as uncharacterized. NCBI's taxonomy places the organism in Eukaryota, Viridiplantae, Streptophyta, Magnoliopsida, Solanales, Solanaceae. The transcript is spliced from 2 exons. The record is from RefSeq and is a predicted model, not a curated record.
GUUUGUUUUAUCUUGAUAAGUAAAAUGAGACGUCAAUUUAGCCAAUUUGGGAUGGGUAAAAUGGGACGGAGGGAGUAUUUGUUUUCUCAGCCUCCAUCAUUAAUUAUUCACCUCAAGUUCUUUAAUAUUCUUAUCUACUUUCACAUUCUUUUUAUUAAGUAAUCUUCAAUAUAUUUUCAUACAAAGAAAAUAAUAGAGGAAAACAAAAACGUAAAAAAAGAAAAAGAAAGAAAAUGGAAGCUCCUCCAAAAUAUCAAAAUAUGUCAUAUUAUGAUGAUGUCCAAAGGUGCCAUGAAGAAAAAGGAUGCCUCUAUGCUUGUAUGUUCGCGAUGUGUUGCUGCUUUUGCUGCAAGGAGAGGGCCUGUUGUUGCUGUAUUUGAACUAGAAAUUAGCAUGUAUUAUUCAAAAAUUAUGUAUCUUUACAUGAUUCGAUAUAAAUACGAUAAUAAUUCUUUAGGAUCCAAGCAAAA